GGGGAAUUUAACAAAGAACAAAAAAGGUGGGUAUCUGCUGACAUGGGGGCGGAAGUCAGGCUCUAGGAGGCGGGUACUCUGCAUCUU
Molecule: microRNA precursor, 87 nt
Filed under: Mus caroli (Ryukyu mouse)
Lineage: Eukaryota; Metazoa; Chordata; Mammalia; Rodentia; Muridae
Description: microRNA 680-3 (MGP_CAROLIEiJ_G0007205.1)
Source: RNAcentral